AAUAGAUACCCCGGUAGUCCAUGCCGUAAACGUUGGGCACUAGGUGUGGGGCCCAUUCCACGAGUUCCGUGCCGCAGCAAACGCAUUAAGUGCCCCGCCUGGGGAGUACGGCCGCAAGGCUAAAACUCAAAGGAAUUGACGGGGGCCCGCACAAGCGGCGGAGCAUGCGGAUUAAUUCGAUGCAACGCGAAGAACCUUACCAAGGCUUGACAUGCACGGGAAGCCACCAGAGAUGGUGGUCUCUUUGGACACUCGUGCACAGGUGGUGCAUGGUUGUCGUCAGCUCGUGUCGUGAGAUGUUGGGUUAAGUCCCGCAACGAGCGCAACCCUCGUCCCAUGUUGCCAGCGGGUUAUGCCGGGGACUCGAUGGGAGACUGCCGGGGUCAACUCGGAGGAAGGUGGGGAUGACGUCAAAUCAUCAUGCCCCUUAUGUCUUGGGCUUCACGCAUGCUACAAUGGCCGGUUACAAAGGGCUGCGAUACCGGUAAGGUGGAGCGAAUCCCGAAAAAGCCGGUNUCGAGUUCGGAUUGGGGUCUGCAACCG
RNAcentral lists this ribosomal RNA (543 nucleotides) under uncultured bacterium. RNAcentral's name for it is "bacterial SSU rRNA". It matches the Rfam family "Bacterial small subunit ribosomal RNA", at positions 777 to 1313 of the family's 1533-position model. The record is from RNAcentral.